AUGAAGAGGCUGCUGUGCUCUCUGCUGGGGCUGCUGUGCACCCAGGUUUGCUGGGUGAAAGGUCAACAAGUGAAGCAGAGUCCUGUGUCCUUGGUUCUGCAGGAGGGAGAGCGUGCAGAACUGCAGUGCAACUUUUCCACAGUUCUGAGCAGUGUGCAGUGGUUUUACCAAAGUCCUGGGGGACAUCUGAAGAUUCUGAUUUACAAUCCUUCUGGAACAAAGCAGAGUGGAAGACUGAUGUCCACAACAGUCACUAAGGAACGUCGCAGCUCUUUAUACAUUUCCUCCUCCCAGACCACAGACUCAGGCACUUAUUUCUGUGCUAUGAGUGCACAGUGCUCCCCACACACCUGCAGCCAGUACAAAAACCUUCAGCGGGGUGGGUGUGGCUCUUCCCUAUCAUGA
Molecule: non-coding RNA, 405 nt
Organism: Peromyscus californicus insignis
Lineage: Eukaryota; Metazoa; Chordata; Mammalia; Rodentia; Cricetidae
Source: the annotation of a RefSeq genome assembly